This 795-nucleotide ribosomal RNA is filed under the name uncultured bacterium. RNAcentral's name for it is "bacterial SSU rRNA". It matches the Rfam family "Bacterial small subunit ribosomal RNA", at positions 8 to 794 of the family's 1533-position model. The record is from RNAcentral.
AGAGUUUGAUCAUGGCUCAGGAUGAACGCUAGCGGGAGGCUUAAUACAUGCAAGUUGAGCGGUAAGUUGUUUAUAGCAAUAUAGAUGACCUAGAGCGGCGCACGGGUGAGUAACGCGUACAUAACCUACCCUAUACAGGGGGAUAGCCUUGGGAAACUGAGAUUAAUACCCCAUGGUAUUAUUUUCCCGCAUGGGAAGAUAAUUAAAGUUGAGGCGGUAUAGGAUGGGUGUGCGUCUGAUCAGCCAGUUGGUGAGGUAACGGCUCACCAAAGCGAUGAUCAGUAGGGGGCGUGAGAGCGUGGACCCCCACACGGGUACUGAGACGCGGACCCGACUCCUACGGGAGGCAGCAGUAAGGAAUAUUGGUCAAUGGAGGCAACUCUGAACCAGCCAUCCCGCGUGAAGGAUGAAGGGGCUAUGCCUUGUAAACUUCUUUUGUCUGGGACGAAAAAGCCCCGUUUACGGGGAACUGACGGUACCAGAAGAAUAAGCACCGGCUAACUCCGUGCCAGCAGCCGCGGUAAUACGGAGGGUGCAAGCGUUAUCCGGAAUCACUGGGUUUAAAGGGUGCGUAGGCGGCUUAGUAAGUCAGUGGUGAAAGGCUGUGGCUUAACCAUGGGAUUGCCAUUGAUACUGCUGAGCUUGAAUGAGGUUGAGGUUAGCGGAAUGUGACAUGUAGCGGUGAAAUGCUUAGAUAUGUCAUGGAACACCAAUUGCGAAGGCAGCUAACUGGACCUUAAUUGACGCUGAGGCACGAAAGCGUGGGUAGCGAACAGGAUUAGAUACCCUGGUAGU